Molecule: ribosomal RNA, 594 nt
Filed under: uncultured Agrobacterium sp.
Lineage: Bacteria; Pseudomonadati; Pseudomonadota; Alphaproteobacteria; Hyphomicrobiales; Rhizobiaceae
Description: bacterial SSU rRNA
Rfam family: Bacterial small subunit ribosomal RNA
Source: RNAcentral
GGAGUGGCAGACGGGUGAGUAACGCGUGGGAAUCUACCCAACCCUGCGGAAUAGCUCUGGGAAACUGGAAUUAAUACCGCAUACGCCCUACGGGGGAAAGAUUUAUCGGGGAUGGAUGAGCCCGCGUUGGAUUAGCUAGUUGGUGGGGUAAAGGCCUACCAAGGCGACGAUCCAUAGCUGGUCUGAGAGGAUGAUCAGCCACAUUGGGACUGAGACACGGCCCAAACUCCUACGGGAGGCAGCAGUGGGGAAUAUUGGACAAUGGGCGCAAGCCUGAUCCAGCCAUGCCGCGUGAGUGAUGAAGGCCUUAGGGUUGUAAAGCUCUUUCACCGGUGAAGAUAAUGACGGUAACCGGAGAAGAAGCCCCGGCUAACUUCGUGCCAGCAGCCGCGGUAAUACGAAGGGGGCUAGCGUUGUUCGGAAUUACUGGGCGUAAAGCGCACGUAGACGGAUAUUUAAGUCAGGGGUGAAAUCCCAGAGCUCAACUCUGGAACUGCCUUUGAUACUGGGUAUCUUGAGUAUGGAAGAGGUAAGUGGAAUUGCGAGUGUAGAGGUGAAAUUCGUAGAUAUUCGCAGGAACACCAGUGGCGAAGG